UAGGGAAUCUUCCGCAAUGGACGAAAGUCUGACGGAGCAACGCCGCGUGAGUGAAGAAGGAUUUCGGUUCGUAAAACUCUGUUGUUAGGGAAGAAAAAAUGUAUAGUAACUAUAUACAAAAGAGACGGUACCUAACCAGAAAGCCACGGCUAACUACGUGCCAGCAGCCGCGGUAAUACGUAGGUGGCAAGCGUUGUCCGGAAUUAUUGGGCGUAAAGCGCGCGCAGGUGGUUUAGAAAGUCUGAUGUGAAAGCCCACGGCUCAACCGUGGAGGGUCAUUGGAAAAUAAUAAACAUGAGUGCAGGAGAGAAAGGUGGAAUUCCUAAUGUAGCGGUGAAAUGCGUAGAGAUGAGGAGGAACACCGGUGGCGAAAGCGGCUUUUUGGCCUGCAACUGACACUGAGGCGCGAAAGCGUGGGGAGCAAACAGG
Molecule: ribosomal RNA, 429 nt
Filed under: Verrucomicrobiota bacterium
Lineage: Bacteria; Pseudomonadati; Verrucomicrobiota
Description: Verrucomicrobia bacterium partial 16S ribosomal RNA
Rfam family: Bacterial small subunit ribosomal RNA
Source: RNAcentral